RNAcentral lists this long non-coding RNA (301 nucleotides) under Mustela putorius furo (domestic ferret). RNAcentral describes it as "lncRNA (ENSMPUG00000027576.1)". Lineage: Eukaryota; Metazoa; Chordata; Mammalia; Carnivora; Mustelidae. The record is from RNAcentral.
UAGGAUGGGUGGGUACCCAUAUAAUUCACCAUCCAAACAGGACAUGAAAACUCUAAGAGCAUACAUGAGUUCUGUUAAUUAUGAGGUACUACUAGGGAAGAAUGUCAUGAAUGCUAUUUCAGAUCUGUCAUCUAGAAUCUUCUAAUCUGCCAACUUUUUGCAACUAAAGAUGAGCUCAUGUACAAGCUAACAAGAGGUGGGGAUGAAUCUAGGCUUUCUUGAAGGUUGUUAAAAGUUUAAGUCCCCCCAUUGUGCAGAUACACUCUGAAUUGGCUUGGUAAUUUUUAUAAUGACAGCUGCU